RNAcentral lists this ribosomal RNA (894 nucleotides) under Wongia sp. RNAcentral describes it as "partial large subunit ribosomal RNA". It matches the Rfam family "Eukaryotic large subunit ribosomal RNA", at positions 38 to 964 of the family's 3401-position model. Lineage: Eukaryota; Fungi; Ascomycota; Sordariomycetes; Papulosaceae. The record is from RNAcentral.
GCAUAUCAAUAAGCGGAGGAAAAGAAACCAACAGGGAUUGCCCCAGUAACGGCGAGUGAAGCGGCAACAGCUCAAAUUUGAAAUCUGGCCCCAGGGUCCGAGUUGUAAUUUGUAGAGGAUGCUUUUGGCGCGGUGCCUUCUGAGUUCCCUGGAACGGGACGCCACAGAGGGUGAGAGCCCCGUAUAGUCGGACACCAAGCCUCUGUAAAGCUCCUUCGACGAGUCGAGUAGUUUGGGAAUGCUGCUCAAAAUGGGAGGUAAAUCUCUUCUAAAGCUAAAUACAGGCUAGAGACCGAUAGCGCACAAGUAGAGUGAUCGAAAGAUGAAAAGCACUUUGAAAAGAGGGUUAAAAAGCACGUGAAAUUGUUGAAAGGGAAGCGCUUGUGACCAGACUUGCGCCCGGUUGAUCAUCCAGCGUUCUCGCUGGUGCACUCUGCCGGGCUCAGGCCAGCAUCGGUUCUUGCGGGGGGAUAAAAGCUGUGGGAAUGUAGCUCCCUCGGGAGUGUUAUAGCCCGCUGCAGAAUACCCCCGCGGGGACCGAGGUACGCGUUCCGCAAGGAUGCUGGCGUAAUGGUCACCAGCGACCCGUCUUGAAACACGGACCAAGGAGUCAAGCAUUAGGGCGAGUGUUUGGGUGUCAAACCCGCACGCGAAAUGAAAGUGAACGUAGGUGAGAGCUUCGGCGCAUCAUCGACCGAUCCUGAUGUAUUCGGAUGGAUUUGAGUAAGAGCCUUACCGCUUGGACCCGAAAGAUGGUGAACUAUGCUUGAAUAGGGUGAAGCCAGAGGAAACUCUGGUGGAGGCUCGCAGCGGUUCUGACGUGCAAAUCGAUCGUCAAAUUUGAGCAUGGGGGCGAAAGACUAAUCGAACCAUCUAGUAGCUGGUUACCGCCGA